GACGAACGCUGGCGGCGUGCUUAACACAUGCAAGUCGAACGGUGAACCUCUUCGGAGGGGAUCAGUGGCGAACGGGUGAGUAACACGUGGGCAACCUGCUCCCGGCUCUGGGAUAACUCCAAGAAAUUGUGGCUAAUCCCGGGUGUUCACCGCUUCCCGCAUGGGUGGUGGUGGAAAGGGUUUCCGGCUGGGGAUGGGCCCGCGGCCUAUCAGCUUGUUGGUGGGGUAGUGGCCUACCAAGGCGACGACGGGUAGCCGGCCUGAGAGGGUGACCGGCCACACUGGGACUGAGACACGGCCCAGACUCCUACGGGAGGCAGCAGUGGGGAAUAUUGCGCAAUGGGCGGAAGCCUGACGCAGCGACGCCGCGUGGGGGAUGACGGCCUUCGGGUUGUAAACAUCUUUCAGCAGGGACGAAGCGCAAGUGACGGUACCUGCAGAAGAAGCACCGGCCAACUACGUG
RNAcentral lists this ribosomal RNA (463 nucleotides) under uncultured bacterium. Its description in RNAcentral is "partial 16S ribosomal RNA". It matches the Rfam family "Bacterial small subunit ribosomal RNA", at positions 28 to 507 of the family's 1533-position model. The record is from RNAcentral.